Long non-coding RNA from Sapajus apella (tufted capuchin), 1662 nucleotides. RefSeq lists it as uncharacterized. The transcript has 2 exons. Lineage: Eukaryota; Metazoa; Chordata; Mammalia; Primates; Cebidae. The record is from RefSeq and is a predicted model, not a curated record.
CCCCCAAGGCCUGAGCCCAGAGGGACACAGCACUGACCACCCUCUUCCUGUACAGAGCUGAUACUAGAGGAGAGCUGUGUGGAGACGCAGGAUGGGGAGCUGGACGGGCUCUGGACGACCAUCACCAUCUUCAUCACACUCUUCCUGCUGAGUGUGUGCUACAGUGCCACCGUCACCUUCUUCAAGGUGAAGUGGAUCUUCUCCUCGGUGGUGGACCUGAAGCAGACCAUCGUCCCCGACUACAGGAACAUGAUCGGGCAGGGGGCCUAGGGCCACCCUCUGCUGGAAGUCCAGGGCCGCCCAGACCCCACACAGGAGCCAUGGGCCACGCUCAGCCGCCACCCAGGCCACGCCUCCCCUGACCUCGCCGCCCUCGACCCCAUGGCUCUCCGGCCUCGCAGUCGCCCUCUGACCUGCCACACCUGAUGUGCCCCCCUUUGAGCCUGUGCAUAGCAGGUCUGUCGCAGAUUUCUGCUGCUUGGUGCGUGCAGGGCGCUGGGGCCAGGUGUCCCGUCAGCAGGACACCUCUGCCCUCCAGCCCCCCAGCUGCUCACACAAAAGGGGGCAGCAGCCAGCAUCCCAGGCGCCCACCCAGGCAGGAACCAGCCUGGAGCCAGUCCCGUCCACACCAGCCUCCUGAACACAGGCGUGGCCAUUGGGAGCUUCCGCCACCAAGCCAGGAAGUUACAGCACCCUCGGGCCCUGCUGGUGAGGCUUGGGAGAGCGGAGAAUGCUCAGACGGCCUUCCUCCCGGCCCGCAGCCAGCCAGGCUCCAUUCUGGGCAGUCCCGUGAACUCCUGACAUGAGGAAUGAGGUUAAAGAACCCUGUUCUCUGGGUCCCGGGAAGACGCCUCCCACGGAGCAGGGUCUCAGGUGCCAGCACCGCCUCUUGGCUGCCUGCUCACGCUGCUGCAUUCUCAGGACUGGAACUCAACCUGAAGGGACAGACAGCCCCAGAGUCUGCACUGGGAAGAGGAGGGGCCGGGCCCAGGACACUGCCACCUCCCACCCCACCCCACCCCACCAAGACCACUCGGGGAAGAGCCUGGGCCACGCGGCCACUGCAGCAGCCCCCACACCGUGCGAGUCCAGAGCAGCCCAGAGAAGAGGUGGGCAUCGGCCAGACAGGCCUACCUAGAGGGCCUGGUGACCAGGUCCCAGGUGGGCAAGAAUCAGCCUUGGUGGGGCCUGAGGACAGAGGAGGCCCAGGAGCACUGGGUAGAGACGUGUAGGGAUGCCAGGGGAGCCAGGAGCAGAGGCACAGCCGGAAUCAUCCCCGAGGCUGAGUCCAGCCCCAGGGCACCUGCAGCAGGACCCAGCAGCCACUCUGGAGGCACGAGGCGGACGGGCAAGACCACAGAGAGGGUGCCGUGGCCUUGGGAGGCUGGGGCUGCUGGCCACGAGGGCUGCACAGAGGCCACCAUGCCCUGUUGCCCCCAUCACGCCUUUGGGCAAAUGUCAGGCAGAAUCCGCAGACAGGAAGAGACACGUGCGGGAGUGUGGCCGGCACCUGCCUCGGCCGUCGGGGGGACUCCCCGCCUCACUGGAAGGAGGUGCCACGGUCUCAGCUUUGGUAGCUUUUGUUCUUUUAAAUUUUCUAAAGCCCAUUGAUUGUCUUGAAUGUUUCUUUUUAAUGACAAUAAAAUAUCCUUUUUAAGUCUU